GUACCAAGGAGAACGGACGCGAACGGUGUUCCCCAGACGAAUCGAAUCAGAGAACAGCAGUGUGUGACUGUGCGCCGUGGCGUGAUUUGGAGGUUGACACAACCAAGGACCGAAGUAAAACAAUAGGCUAAUCGUCGCGAGGCGUGUGACUUAUCCGUUCAAUCAUGAGCAAGGUCGUGGUGCUGGUUCUCACCGUGACGUGCAUUGCGGUGCAGCUAUCGGGGGCAACGAAAGACAAACACAUCAAGUACACCGAGAAAGAUCUGCUCCGGAAGUCGAUCGUGUACGACAAAAACACACCGGAUGUGUUCUACUGCCCAAUCAGUAAACCCACCGGCAUGGAUAAGAUGAUCGUCAAAUCACGGCCACUGCACAAGCUGUGCGAACACGAAGGUAAACCACUGCCAGAGGACUACAAAUCCGACUGCUACAAGGACGUCGACGAGUCGAACUACGCGUGCAAGGAGAAGUACCGGAUCAUGAAACGUUCCGCCAAAGAGAAUAUUGAGAUCUAGAUCCUGCACAGUGACCGUAGCGCGCGGUCGUUAAAUUGCAUUUCUUGUGCAAAUCUACCUUGGUAUUUGUCCUCAAGUUUUCCCAAGACAUGUUGACUCGUUUCACUCAGACUCAGAGCUUACCUGUGCUCGUUGACGCUUGCUAGAACGUAAAGAUGAUACCCCGACUAUUCUGACGAAGUCAACAGACUUGCUCUUAUCUAAUUCGUUUCCUACUUUGCUAAAUCAUAUUUCCUAUACAAAAUCUAGCCUAGCCAUGCCCUCUGUGAUUCCUUUAAUCUGUGUUUCUGUAUAAGCUUGUCUGAUUCUACAAACAUUUCUUUCAUUAAUACCAAAUGGAAUCCCAGGACAUUGCACAAUGCGCACAGUGGAUUGUACGUGUUGGGUCUGUGUUCUUUGCUCCACCUUCAUUAUAUGAUUCGUAUCCACAAUUACUGAUUUCGAAUCGAUGGUUACCAAAUACAACAAAACAAAACAAAACCGAACCAACCCAUCGUAACUCUAAUCGAUAGCUUAAUAUUGUUCAUUGUCUCGCAAAUAAUCGUUCUUUUCGAAUAAGCCUAGAUAACAACGGGAAUCGAAAGCAACUGAAUCGAAUCUCUAUCAGCUAUAUCUAAUCAGCUAAUUAACUCACACAAAUAAUCUUAUCGAAUACCUACAUUAACCCGUGCUGGCAGGCCGCUUCUAUCUGUUGGAGGAAACGUUCCCUGCAAACUGCGACUAACAAACAACUUCACAAACAAAACUGCAACGAAACUAAACCAACUUCACGAUAACGGCAAAUGCCAUUUAAUCACCUAACUAUAUCUCUCGGGACCAACAAAUCCUUGAACGUUACCACACGGACAAGCACAUCACACAAACCGAAUGGUACACGUACACUGCACACAGACUAGACACAGAUACGAGGAAAUCUAGCUCGCUUUGCACAAGAACCUUUACCCGUUGCCAAACCAUAUAUCAGCUACCACACAUCAUGCUACUUAAAUGCCAGCUAAACGCUAUACGUGGGAUCACGGGUGCUGUACAUGAAAGGUGCGUAUCAAAUGGAUGUACUAGAUAUCGGAUAUCGAAAGGAGAAUGUCCUCUAAUGAUGCGCCUGAAUCCUCCCGGAAGUGAUGAACCGUUCAAUGGACAGCGGCUGAGCCGAUUCAUGGCAAUGGAUGACGAUAUGAAGCGGAUCAAAUCCAGGAAACACUAGUUUGCGCUUGAUGGCACAUCCUUCGAUCGGCAGACGACCCAAAGUGCUGUGAUUGGUGCCUGCUUCACUUUGCCAUAUUAAUGCAUCCCAGCGCGGCAGCAGGUGCGACCUAGAAGAAACCAGGAUUCGAUCUAUCUAGGCAGAAGGAAUGAUGCGAGGUCUGCAUAAGCAUGAGAGACCGUUUGUGAAGUAGCGGGUUUUGUUGUUGUGUGUUUAGUAAGUUUACGGGAAACGUUUCUUUCCAAAUCCGAUGUAUAGAAGUGGCUGAACAGCUUGCCGACUCGCAAAUAAUUUAAUGCAGCUUGAUUUCCUACUCGUUUUUAUCUUGUGUUAACAGCAACUGUUGAUUGAGAACAUGAUUUUAUGAAAUAAAACAUUAAACCUCCUA
This is an RNA transcript of Anopheles darlingi, 2104 nucleotides long. RefSeq lists it as uncharacterized. NCBI's taxonomy places the organism in Eukaryota, Metazoa, Arthropoda, Insecta, Diptera, Culicidae. The record is from RefSeq and is a predicted model, not a curated record. The transcript is spliced from 5 exons.